Molecule: long non-coding RNA, 365 nt
Organism: Cloeon dipterum
Lineage: Eukaryota; Metazoa; Arthropoda; Insecta; Ephemeroptera; Baetidae
Exons: 3
Source: RefSeq, a predicted model, not a curated record
UGGAGGAAGCCUUUCAAGUGUGAUAAAUAGCGAACAGUGCAUGCUUUUGACGGCACAACAACUGCAAUCAUGUUCACGGCAAAAACACUCUGCAUUAUCCUUUUAUUGAAUUUCGCGAUGAUUUUCGCCGGCCAAUGUGCUCCUGCAGGGAACACGUUGGAUAAUGACGAAUUGAGGGAUGAACGAAUCUGGCAAUACGCGAAAUACAUUCCCAAUGCCAUUAGUGCAGUACAAGGAGCGAUCGAUGGUUGGAAGUCAGGCUAAAAACGAAGGAUGCAGGCUGAUGCAACAUAGCAGAUGAAAAUGUCAUUUUAUUUCGUUGUCAAAAAUGAUAUUAAUAAAUAAAUGUCGACAAUCGCAAAACA